RNAcentral lists this ribosomal RNA (239 nucleotides) under uncultured bacterium. Its description in RNAcentral is "partial 16S ribosomal RNA". It matches the Rfam family "Bacterial small subunit ribosomal RNA", at positions 100 to 334 of the family's 1533-position model. The record is from RNAcentral.
CCGGCACGGGUGAGUAACACGUAUCCAACCUGCCGUCUACUCUUGGCCAGCCUUCUGAAAGGAAGAUCAAUCCAGGAUGGCAUCAUGAGUUCACAUGUCCGCAUGAUUAAAGGUAUUUUCCGGUAGACGAUGGGGAUGCGUUCCAUUAAAUAGUAGGCGGGGUAACGGCCCACCUAGUCAACGAUGGAUAGGGGUUCUGAGAGGAAGGUCCCCCACAUUGGAACUGAGACACGGUCCAA